AUACGUAGGGUGCAAGCGUUAAUCGGAAUUACUGGGCGUAAAGCGUACGCAGGCGGUUCGGAAAGAAAGAUGUGAAAUCCCAGAGCUUAACUUUGGAACUGCAUUUUUAACUACCGGGCUAGAGUGUGUCAGAGGGAGGUGGAAUUCCGCGUGUAGCAGUGAAAUGCGUAGAUAUGCGGAGGAACACCGAUGGCGAAGGCAGCCUCCUGGGAUAACACUGACGCUCAUGCACGAAAGCGUGGGGAGCAAACAGGAUUAGAUACCCUGGUAGUCCACGCCCUAAACGAUGUCAACUAGCUGUUGGGGUCUUCGGACCUUGGUAGCGCAGCUAACGCGUGAAGUUGACCGCCUGGGGAGUACGGUCGCAAGAUUAAA
RNAcentral lists this ribosomal RNA (375 nucleotides) under uncultured bacterium. Its description in RNAcentral is "bacterial SSU rRNA". It matches the Rfam family "Bacterial small subunit ribosomal RNA", at positions 523 to 898 of the family's 1533-position model. The record is from RNAcentral.